Long non-coding RNA from Eriocheir sinensis (Chinese mitten crab), 1021 nucleotides. RefSeq lists it as uncharacterized. The transcript is spliced from 3 exons. The record is from RefSeq and is a predicted model, not a curated record. NCBI's taxonomy places the organism in Eukaryota, Metazoa, Arthropoda, Malacostraca, Decapoda, Varunidae.
UGUGUGGCUGGCGUUAUACAGCCCCCAGCCAUCGCCUGGAGGGCAUCCAGUGUCUGUUAUCACUCACCUUAGGUAGUCUGUGAAGGUCCAGUCAUCACUGGUGCACGUGUAUCUUACCUGUGAUCAACACCGGCAGCCACAGACUCCUGCCCAAGGAACGAACACAGUGAUCGUGAUGACAUUGACAACAACGAGCAAGUCCUCCUAGACCUAGAGUGACCUCAAGCUGGGCCAAACAUGAUGUGGAAGAAGAAAUCAGUUGUCUCCAUCAGUCGGGUUUGUGCCAUGGCAGCUUUCUCCAGCUGUCCGGCAGAGGUCCAGUCCAUGCCAUGGAGAAAUUCAGCCCCCAACAAUGAGAUGGCAUGCCAGAGAUGGAUCCGCAGCUUCUCCUCCAAUCAAUCAAUCCUUGCAAUGCCUUUUCUCUUUCCUCUCCUUCUGUCCCACCAUGCUUACACAUAACUGAUCCAAGGUACUUAAACUCGUUAACCUCCUCCAUUUCUUCACCAUUCAAAAUUAUUUGGCAUUCUUUUUCACAUUCAAUGCCCACUCUAUAUGGGCAUACAAACUCUACAACCUCCCUUCUACUCUGCUCACAAACCAUCACUUUACUUUUGUUGAAAUUUACUUUCAACUUUCUCCUUUUACAUACACUAUCAAAAACACUGACCAAAUUUUGUAAGUCCCUUUCAUUUUCUGCAUUGAGCACCGUGUCAUCAGCAAAUAAGAUUGAAUUCAUCACCCACUUCCUUCCCUCCCUCAGCAUACAUUUUUACUUCAAUUUCCCCAACUUUGCCCUUCAUUUCUCAUAACACCAUCCAUAUAAAUAUUGAACAACCACGAUGACAUGACACACCCCUGCCUUAGCCCACUUUCAUCUCAAAAUGUUCCCUUGUUUCUCCACUAAUUUUGACACAUGCAGAUGCAUCCUCAUAGAAAGACUUUAUUGCAUAAAGCAGUUUUCCUCCCACACCAUAUAUCUUUAAGACGUCCCACAAUGCCAGCCAAUCGACUCUGUCAUAAA